This 393-nucleotide ribosomal RNA is filed under the name uncultured bacterium. Its description in RNAcentral is "bacterial SSU rRNA". It matches the Rfam family "Bacterial small subunit ribosomal RNA", at positions 29 to 426 of the family's 1533-position model. The record is from RNAcentral.
AUUGAACGCUGGCGGCAUGCUUUACACAUGCAAGUCGAACGGUAACAGGCCUUCGGGUGCUGACGAGUGGCGAACGGGUGAGUAAUGCAUCGGAACGUGCCCAAUCGUGGGGGAUAACGUAGCGAAAGUUACGCUAAUACCGCAUAAGCCCUGAGGGGGAAAGUGGGGGACCGCAAGGCCUCACGCGAAUGGAGCGGCCGAUGUCAGAUUAGCUAGUUGGUGGGGUAAAGGCUCACCAAGGCGACGAUCUGUAGCGGGUCUGAGAGGAUGAUCCGCCACACUGGGACUGAGACACGGCCCAGACUCCUACGGGAGGCAGCAGUGGGGAAUUUUGCGCAAUGGCCGAAAGGCUGACGCAGCGACGCCGCGUGGAGGAUGACGCCCUCGGGUGGU